UACGUAGGGGGCAAGCGUUGUCCGGAAUCAUUGGGCGUAAAGCGCGUGUAGGCGGUCCGGUAAGUCCGCUGUGAAAGUCGGGGGCUCAACCCUCGAAUGCCGGUGGAUACUGUCGGGCUAGAGUGCGGAAGAGGCGAGUGGAAUUCCUGGUGUAGCGGUGAAAUGCGCAGAUAUCGGGAGGAAUACCGAUGGCGAAGGCAGGUCUCUGGGCUGACACUGACGCUCAUGCACGAAAGCGUGGGGAGCAAACAGG
RNAcentral lists this ribosomal RNA (253 nucleotides) under uncultured bacterium. Its description in RNAcentral is "partial 16S ribosomal RNA". It matches the Rfam family "Bacterial small subunit ribosomal RNA", at positions 524 to 776 of the family's 1533-position model. The record is from RNAcentral.